This 65-nucleotide transfer RNA is filed under the name Scotoplanes sp. TT-2017. RNAcentral's name for it is "tRNA-Arg". Lineage: Eukaryota; Metazoa; Echinodermata; Holothuroidea; Elasipodida; Elpidiidae. RNAcentral also lists the same sequence under 2 other names. The record is from RNAcentral.
UUAAGAUUAGUUUAUUAAAACAUAAAGUUUCGACCUUUAAAUUCUUAUAUUAUUAAGAUCUUACU